Molecule: long non-coding RNA, 673 nt
Filed under: Sorghum bicolor (sorghum)
Lineage: Eukaryota; Viridiplantae; Streptophyta; Magnoliopsida; Poales; Poaceae
Description: long non-coding RNA (SBIC_LNC013052)
Source: RNAcentral
CGAGACUUAGGGCAGGGCGGCGGCGCGGCUAGGGCUUCCAAAGGGGCGCAGGGGCGGCUGCGGCGUCCAAUUUAUAGGCUAGGGUGGCUCGGCGAACCUUGGUUCGCGUGCACGCGGAUUCCAAGGCGGUGGUUGCGGCUGUUUCCGAAACAGCCGGGGGUUAGGGAUGACAGGUGGGUCCCACUUGCGGGGCCCACCAGUCAGCGGGCGAGUGCGGGGUAUAGGAGGCACGCGCGUGGGGGCUGGGCCGCGGCCUGGCUGGCCAGCGGCGGGGUGUUGGCCCACGCGGGUGGUGCGGACGCGAGGGGGGUGCUGGGCCGUGGAGAGAGGAAGCCGGCCCAGAAAGGAGAGAAAGCCUUUUCUUCUUUUCUUUUUUUUUCUUCUUGCAAAACAGAAAUUCUAAACUAUUUUCAAUGUAUAUUUCAAAAUAAAUUUGAGUCAAUACUUAGGAAUUAUUUUGGAAUUUGUUUUUAGACUAUUAUGAAAUCUAAAUAUAUUUUAGUUUAAAGACACUUCUAAAUUGUUUUCCAACUUGAAUUUGAAUUAGUUUUCAAAUAGGACUUUUGGUGUUUUAUUUUUUUCUAAAAAACCGAAAAGGGCCUAUUUAUAGUUGCUCAAAUUUUAGAAAUUCAUUUUUCACACACAAGCCAAACAGAGCUAGGGCACAAAGCAU